CAGCAGGUAGACGUGGUGAGUUUAUGGCACGGGUGGAGGGUGGGAAUCGGGAUGGAGGGGCUGCGAGAGAGGGAACAAACUCCAUGACAAGA
Molecule: long non-coding RNA, 92 nt
Organism: Myripristis murdjan (pinecone soldierfish)
Lineage: Eukaryota; Metazoa; Chordata; Actinopteri; Holocentriformes; Holocentridae
Exons: 3
Source: RefSeq, a predicted model, not a curated record